This 377-nucleotide ribosomal RNA is filed under the name uncultured organism. Its description in RNAcentral is "partial 16S ribosomal RNA". It matches the Rfam family "Bacterial small subunit ribosomal RNA", at positions 526 to 897 of the family's 1533-position model. The record is from RNAcentral.
GGGGGGGAGCGAGCGUUGUUCGGAAUUACUGGGCGUAAAGGGCGCGUAGGCGGCCGGGUCAGUCGCGUGUGAAAGGGCCGGGGGGCUCAACCCCGAGCAUUGCACGUGAUACUGCCUGGCUCGAGAGAGGUAGGGCGAGUGGAAUUCCCGGUGUAGCGGUGGAAUGCGUAGAUAUCGGGAAGAACACCUGUGGCGAAGGCGGCUCGCUGGACCUUUUCUGACGCUGAAGCGCGAAAGCGUGGGGAGCAAACAGGAUUAGAUACCCUGGUAGUCCACGCCGUAAACGAUGGGUACUAGGUGUUGGGAGGAUUGACCCUUUCAGUGCCGGCGCUAACGCAUUAAGUACCCCGCCUGGGGAGUGCGGUCGCAAAGGCUGA